This 341-nucleotide long non-coding RNA is filed under the name Mustela putorius furo (domestic ferret). RNAcentral's name for it is "lncRNA (ENSMPUG00000027214.1)". The record is from RNAcentral. Lineage: Eukaryota; Metazoa; Chordata; Mammalia; Carnivora; Mustelidae.
UGAAAAUGUGCGCUUCGGAUAGCGUCAGCUGCUCCGCCCAUCCCCACCCAGCAAGUGGGUAGCGGGGAAGGGACCAGAGGCUGCAGGCCUGCGAAUGAGAACGGUCUCUACGUGCCCAUCCAGGGAGCUGAACUUCUUCCUUCAGCAGAACCUGAACACCCAAGCUUUUCCCUCCAAGAUGAGGAAACCGAGAUCCAGAGAAGAUCCAAGACCACGCUGUGGGCUGCAGGUAAAGCCAGAGCCAGACAAUCUCUCUCUAGAUUCCUAGUCCAAGUUCACACUCCUUGGCAUGAUAACCGUGAUGAUAAAGCCGUUUUCCAGCUUGGUCUCCCAUCGCCCCU